Molecule: ribosomal RNA, 506 nt
Filed under: uncultured bacterium
Lineage: Bacteria
Description: partial 16S ribosomal RNA
Rfam family: Bacterial small subunit ribosomal RNA
Source: RNAcentral
AUUGAACGCUGGCGGCAGGCCUAACACAAGCAAGUCGGACGGUAACAGGAAGCAGCUUGCUGCUUCGCUGACGAGUGGCGGACGGGUGAGUAAAGUCUGGGAAACUGCCUGAUGGAGGGGGAUAACUACUGGAAACGGUAGCUAAUACCGCAUAACGUCGCAAGACCAAAGAGGGGGACCUUCGGGCCUCUUGCCAUCAGAUGUGCCAAGAUGGGAUUAGCUAGUAGGUGGGGUAAAGGCUCACCUAGGCGACGAUCCCUAGCUGGUCUGAGAGGAUGACCAGCCACACUGGAACUGAGACACGGUCCAGACUCCUACGGGAGGCAGCAGUGGGGAGUAUUGCACAAUGGGCGCAAGCCUGAUGCAGCCAUGCCGCGCGUAUGAAGAAGGCCUUCGGGUUGUAAAGUACUUUCAGCGGGGAGGAAGGCGUUAAGGUUAAUAACCUUGGUGAUUGACGUUACCCGCAGAAGAAGCACCGGCUAACUCCGUGCCAGCAGCCGCGGUAA